GGGCCCAUAGCUCAGCUGGCUAGAGCGCCUCGCUUGCACCGAGGAGGUCAGGAGUUCGAAUCCCCUUGGGUCCA
This 74-nucleotide transfer RNA is filed under the name Candidatus Buchananbacteria bacterium CG10_big_fil_rev_8_21_14_0_10_33_19. Its description in RNAcentral is "tRNA-Ala". It matches the Rfam family "tRNA". Rfam says of the family: Transfer RNA (tRNA) molecules are approximately 80 nucleotides in length. Their secondary structure includes four short double-helical elements and three loops (D, anti-codon, and T loops). Lineage: Bacteria; Candidatus Buchananiibacteriota. The record is from RNAcentral. RNAcentral also lists the same sequence under 1 other name.